AUUGAACGCUGGCGGAAUGCUUUACACAUGCAAGUCGAACGGCAGCACGGACUUCGGUCUGGUGGCGAGUGGCGAACGGGUGAGUAACAUAUCGGAACGUAUCCAAUAAUGGGGGAUAACGAGUCGAAAGAUUCGCUAAUACCGCAUACGCCCUACGGGGGAAAGCUGGGGACCUUCGGGCCUGGCGUUAAUGGAGCGGCCGAUAUCUGAUUAGCUAGUUGGUGAGGUAAAGGCUCACCAAGGCGACGAUCAGUAGCUGGUCUGAGAGGACGACCAGCCACCCUGGAACUGAGACACGGUCCAGACUCCUACGGGAGGCAGCAGUGGGGAAGUUUGGACAAUGGGCGCAAGCCUGAUCCAGCCAUUCCGCGUGAGUGAAGAAGGCCUUCGGGUUGUAAAGCUCUUUCGCAAGGGAAGAAAACUUAGCCACUAACAUUGGUUGAGGUUGACGGUACCUUGAUAAGAAGCACCGGCUAACUACGUGCCAGCCGCCGCGGUAA
RNAcentral lists this ribosomal RNA (500 nucleotides) under uncultured bacterium. Its description in RNAcentral is "partial 16S ribosomal RNA". It matches the Rfam family "Bacterial small subunit ribosomal RNA", at positions 30 to 523 of the family's 1533-position model. The record is from RNAcentral.